This is a regulatory RNA element of Lasius niger, 45 nucleotides long. It matches the Rfam family "Histone 3' UTR stem-loop". From Rfam's summary of the family: The mRNAs of metazoan histone genes lack a poly-A tail. 3' end processing occurs at a site between a highly conserved stem-loop (modelled by this family) and a purine rich region around 20 nts downstream (the histone downstream element, or HDE). The record is from Rfam. Lineage: Eukaryota; Metazoa; Arthropoda; Insecta; Hymenoptera; Formicidae.
CAAUCGGCCCUUUUCAGGGCCACCACCAUAAUUUAUCAUAAGACA